ACCCACCUACCUCAAGUGCAAAUAUCACAAUUAUCUCUUUCUACAAAAUAUGUUCCCUCUCUCUCUCUAUGAUACAACUUUCUCUCUCUACUGCAGCCGCACUCUCCGCUCUCCUGAUGUCCUCAUUAACAUUACCACCUCUGGCCCUUCCUUCUUUAAGAGAUACACGCUGUUGUCGCAUCAACCAGAUGUUUUUUCGUUGACGCCCCUGUCUUCGCUGGAAAUUGAGGCUCCAGUUCUUCCUCCGUUUCCAUAUUCGCUAGUGGCUGUUUUGGACACCACAUAUUUGGAUUGCUAUUUUGGGUUAUGUGGUGGUAGGUUGGGUGACCACCUGAUUGUGUUACUGUUUUGGGUUGUGGUGGUGAUGUUUUGGUGGUGGUACUGGUAGGAGUGGCAUUGGGAUGGAAUGCGCCGGAUGAAAUGUUGUUAUCAGUAGAGUAUAAUAAUAUAUAGGAUCAAUAUUUCUUCAUGAUAAUUUUUCAAUAGUAUAGGAUUAUUUUCCUUAAUAAUUGAUUGUAUAAUUAUUACACAAUCUCUCCUUUUGAGUUAUUUUCUUUUAAGUUUAUUUGUAACCCUAUAAAUUGGUCUUCUCCUUUGUAAUAUUAGCAAAACUUUAUUAUAUACAAUUUACAAUUUUCUUGACAUGGUAUCAGAGCCGUUCCGAUCCCAAAAAAAUUAACCAUUGAAUUUAAUUUCCAGGUUGCUCGCCCGACCAAAUUUUCUUUUAGUAGAAAUCCCAAAAAAUUUUAAAAUUGCUCGAG
This 761-nucleotide long non-coding RNA is filed under the name Olea europaea subsp. europaea. Lineage: Eukaryota; Viridiplantae; Streptophyta; Magnoliopsida; Lamiales; Oleaceae. The record is from RNAcentral.